Molecule: ribosomal RNA, 484 nt
Filed under: uncultured bacterium
Lineage: Bacteria
Description: partial 16S ribosomal RNA
Rfam family: Bacterial small subunit ribosomal RNA
Source: RNAcentral
AUUGAACGCUGGCGGCAUGCUUUACACAUGCAAGUCGAACGGCAGCGCGGGCUUCGGCCUGGCGGCGAGUGGCGAACGGGUGAGUAAUACAUCGGAACGUGCCCAGUAGUGGGGGAUAGCUCGGCGAAAGCCGGAUUAAUACCGCAUACGACCUGAGGGUGCAAGCGGGGGAUCUUCGGACCUCGCGCUAUUGGAGCGGCCGAUGGCAGAUUAGCUAGUUGGUGGGGUAAAGGCCUACCAAGGCGACGAUCUGUAGCUGGUCUGAGAGGACGACCAGCCACACUGGGACUGAGACACGGCCCAGACUCCUACGGGAGGCAGCAGUGGGGAAUUUUGGACAAUGGGCGAAAGCCUGAUCCAGCAAUGCCGCGUGUGUGAUGAAGGCCUUCGGGUUGUAAAGCACUUUUGGCGGGAACGAAAAGGACUGUGCCAAUACCACGGUUCGAUGACGGUACCCGCAGAAUAAGCACCGGCUAACUACGUG